Molecule: ribosomal RNA, 497 nt
Filed under: uncultured bacterium
Lineage: Bacteria
Description: partial 16S ribosomal RNA
Rfam family: Bacterial small subunit ribosomal RNA
Source: RNAcentral
GAUGAACGCUGGCGGCGUGCCUAAUACAUGCAAGUCGAGCGAACGGACGAGAAGCUUGCUUUUCUGAUGUUAGCGGCGGACGGGUGAGUAACACGUGGAUAACCUACCUAUAAGACUGGGAUAACUUCGGGAAACCGGAGCUAAUACCGGAUAAUAUUUUGAACCGCAUGGUUCAAAAGUGAAAGACGGUCUUGCUGUCACUUAUAGAUGGAUCCGCGCUGCAUUAGCUAGUUGGUAAGGUAACGGCUUACCAAGGCAACGAUGCAUAGCCGACCUGAGAGGGUGAUCGGCCACACUGGAACUGAGACACGGUCAAGACUCCUACGGGAGGCAGCAGUAGGGAAUCUUCCGCAAUGGGCGAAAGCAUGACGGAGCAACGCCGCGUGAGUGAUGAAGGUCUUCGGAUCGUAAAACUCUGUUAUUAGGGAAGAACAUAUGUGUAAGUAACUGUGCACAUCUUGACGGUACCUAAUCAGAAAGCCACGGCUAACUACGUG